UGGGGAAUAUUGCACAAUGGAGGGAACUCUGAUGCAGCGACGCCGCGUGAGUGAUGAAGGAAUUCGUUUAGUAAAACUCUGUUCUAUGGGAAGAAAAGGACUGUACCAUAGGAGAAAGCUCCGGCUAAAUACGUGCCAGCAGCCGCGGUAAUACGUAUGGAGCGAGCGUUGUCCGGAAUUAUUGGGCGUAAAGGGUGCGCAGGCGGCUUUACAAGUUGGAUGUGAAAUAUUGUGGCUCAACCACAAACGUGCAUCCAAAACUGCAAAGCUUGAGUUAAGGAGAGGUAAGUGGAAUUCCUGGUGUAGCGGUGGAAUGCGUAGAUAUCAGGAGGAAUACCGGUGGCGAAGGCGACUUACUGGAAUUAAACUGACGCUCAGGCACGAAAGCGUGGGGAGCAAACAGG
This 404-nucleotide ribosomal RNA is filed under the name Fusobacteriota bacterium. RNAcentral describes it as "Fusobacteria bacterium partial 16S ribosomal RNA". It matches the Rfam family "Bacterial small subunit ribosomal RNA", at positions 355 to 776 of the family's 1533-position model. The record is from RNAcentral. Lineage: Bacteria; Fusobacteriati; Fusobacteriota.